This 282-nucleotide ribosomal RNA is filed under the name uncultured bacterium. RNAcentral's name for it is "partial 16S ribosomal RNA". It matches the Rfam family "Bacterial small subunit ribosomal RNA", at positions 773 to 1060 of the family's 1533-position model. The record is from RNAcentral.
GUGGAUUAGAUACCCUAGUAGUCCACGCCGUAAACUAUGAUUACUCGCUGUUGGCGAUAUAUUGUCAGCGGCUGAGCGAAAGCAUUAAGUAAUCCACCUGGGGAGUACGAUCGCAAGGUUGAAACUCAAAGGAAUUGACGGGGGCCCGCACAAGCGGAGGAACAUGUGGUUUAAUUCGAUGAUACGCGAGGAACCUUACCUGGGCUUAAAUGUAGAGCGACAGACUGGGAAACUGGUCCUUCUUCGGACGAUCUACAAGGUGCUGCACGGUCGUCGUCAGCU